GCAUUCUUAGCUCAGUAGGAAUAGAGCAACAACCUUCUAAGUUGUGGGUCGCAGGUUCGAUCCCUGCAGAAUGUA
Molecule: transfer RNA, 75 nt
Filed under: Chloroidium sp. UTEX 3077
Lineage: Eukaryota; Viridiplantae; Chlorophyta; Trebouxiophyceae; Watanabeales; Watanabeaceae
Description: tRNA-Arg
Rfam family: tRNA
About the family: Transfer RNA (tRNA) molecules are approximately 80 nucleotides in length.
Source: RNAcentral